GACGAACGCUGGCGGCGUGCUUAACACAUGCAAGUCGAACGGUGAAGGGGUCUGCUUUUGUGGGCCCUGGAUGAGUGGCGAACGGGUGAGUAACACGUGAGUAACCUGCCCCCUUCUUCUGGAUAACCGCAUGAAAGUGUGGCUAAUACGGGAUAUUCUGGGUCUGUCGCAUGAUGGGUCUGGGAAAGAUUGCGCCUUUGGGUGUUUUUGGUGGGGGAUGGGCUCGCGGCCUAUCAGCUUGUUGGUGGGGUGAUGGGCUACCAAGGCGGGGACGGGUAGCCGGCCUGAGAGGGUGGACGGUCACACGGGGACUGAGACACGGCCCAGACUCCUACGGGAGGCAGCAGUGGGGAAUAUUGCACAAUGGGCGCAAGCCUGAUGCAGCGACGCCGCGUGAGGGAUGGAGGCCUUCGGGUUGUAAACCUCUUUCGCCAGUGAAGCAGGCCUGCUCCUUGUGGGUGGGUUGACGGUAGCUGGAGAAGAAGCGCCGGCUAACUACGU
This 501-nucleotide ribosomal RNA is filed under the name uncultured bacterium. RNAcentral's name for it is "partial 16S ribosomal RNA". It matches the Rfam family "Bacterial small subunit ribosomal RNA", at positions 28 to 506 of the family's 1533-position model. The record is from RNAcentral.